Molecule: ribosomal RNA, 431 nt
Filed under: uncultured bacterium
Lineage: Bacteria
Description: bacterial SSU rRNA
Rfam family: Bacterial small subunit ribosomal RNA
Source: RNAcentral
AUGAACGCUGGCGGCAUGCCUAACACAUGCAAGUCGAACGGUGCCUUCGGGCAUAGUGGCGCACGGGUGCGUAACGCGUGGGAAUCUACCCUUGGGUUCGGAAUAACUCAGAGAAAUUUGAGCUAAUACCGGAUGAUGACGAAAGUCCAAAGAUUUAUCGCCCAGGGAUGAGCCCGCGUAGGAUUAGCUUGUUGGUGAGGUAAAAGCUCACCAAGGCGACGAUCCUUAGCUGGUCUGAGAGGAUGAUCAGCCACACUGGGACUGAGACACGGCCCAGACUCCUACGGGAGGCAGCAGUGGGGAAUAUUGGACAAUGGGCGAAAGCCUGAUCCAGCAAUGCCGCGUGAGUGAUGAAGGCCUUAGGGUUGUAAAGCUCUUUUACCCGGGAAGAUAAUGACUGUACCGGGAGAAUAAGCCCCGGCUAACUCCGU